This 254-nucleotide unclassified non-coding RNA is filed under the name Hevea brasiliensis (rubber tree). The record is from RNAcentral. Lineage: Eukaryota; Viridiplantae; Streptophyta; Magnoliopsida; Malpighiales; Euphorbiaceae.
GUUUAUCAGAGGAGGUGUUUGACUCUGUUUGCAAACCUGCACCAUCCAUCUGUAUUUUCUGAUGUUGUACAGAACUAACCUUAGUUGAUUUCUCUUCGGCUUCAGGCAUUCUAGCAGUCUCAGGCAAAGGCUGCUCCAAAUUAUCCUUCACUAAUGAAGAUUGAGAGCUGGAGGUCUGAGAUUGUAAGUUACUGGCAUCAUAAGUAAUUAAAUCUUCACUUUCAGAUGGGGAAACUGAUUUGAUGGUGCUGGAG